Carassius gibelio (silver crucian carp) is the source of this 121-nucleotide ribosomal RNA. Lineage: Eukaryota; Metazoa; Chordata; Actinopteri; Cypriniformes; Cyprinidae. The record is from RefSeq and is a predicted model, not a curated record.
GCUUACGGCCAUACCAACCUGGCUAUGCCCGAUCUCAUCUGAUCUCGGAAGCUAAGCAGGUUUGGGCCUGGUUAGUACUUGGAUGGGAGACCCGCCUGGGAAUACCGGGGUGCUGUAAGCU